AGGUAGUGAAAUGGAUGAUAACGCUUUUAAAAGUCAAUCAUUUUUUCAACCAUGUCGGAGGGAUCACAAGUUACGGUGGUGAGUCCUUUUGAAUUACCAAGUGGAUCCCAUGCAGGACAUGGUCAUAAUACGGUGGUGGGCUACACUCAAUGUGGGUACCAACCACCUCAUGUUAGCAUGUUUCAACAUAACCCUUUGACAACUGGAAAUCAGGACAAUGACAUUCAUUCAUGAGCAAUAUAUAUGGAGCUUCCGUUGCCCCAGUUUUUUUUAUUGGCGCCCAUCGAAACCAUUGGAUGAAUCACUCUUUUUGUGCAGCUUUUUUUUUGUUGGAUAUAUUUGAUAGGUGUGGCCCUUUUUUCUUUUUUCUUUUUUGGCGCCUACCUAAAAAUUGGAUUGAUGGUUCAUUUUGGGUAAUUUCUUCAAUUAUAUUAUUUGGUGGGUCCACAUGCUAAAAUGAUAUGAACAAACAAGUAUCCAUAAGCCCAUGUGGCAAUUACUUGCACGUGGAUUUCUCUCUAGUCAUUAGGCAAAUGGAGAGAUUGUCCACUCUGGUGCUUUGAAAAAUGUGGACAAUUGAAUCAGCCAUCCAGACAGUAUUAAAAUCACUUUUGCAUGGGCCAUCAUGAAAAAUACACUACUAGAAGACUCCAUAGAAGAUGUGAUCUUAGAACACUGAAGCACUUCUCUAGAGCUCUUAGAUUGCAGUGAAACUUCGAUUUCUCAUUUUUCAUUAGGUCACUUAUUUGCUACACAAACUAUGGAUGCAUGUGUACAAGAUGUGGGGCAUUGAAUAAGUUGGAUGGACAGUGACUGUUCCUUUGUCCAAAAA
Magnolia sinica is the source of this 832-nucleotide long non-coding RNA. RefSeq lists it as uncharacterized. The transcript is spliced from 3 exons. The record is from RefSeq and is a predicted model, not a curated record. Lineage: Eukaryota; Viridiplantae; Streptophyta; Magnoliopsida; Magnoliales; Magnoliaceae.